RNAcentral lists this long non-coding RNA (1152 nucleotides) under Oryctolagus cuniculus (rabbit). RNAcentral describes it as "lncRNA (ENSOCUG00000034597.1)". Lineage: Eukaryota; Metazoa; Chordata; Mammalia; Lagomorpha; Leporidae. The record is from RNAcentral.
AAAAUUUUCUUCAGUUGUCCUCAUGUCAGGAAACCUAUACUUUUCCUUAGAGGUCAUCUGGUCAGUAGAAAGCUUCUCAGUAAUCCUCGAGAAUAUAUGAGGAUGAAGCUAAGAUAUAAAUUUCUAUAUUCCUAAAUUCAACAUUUGCUACUAAACUUUUCCACUUCUAUCUUUUCUGAGAAUGAAUUUUGAAAAGAGAGAGAUUGAGUUUUUUAAAAAAAGUAGUUUGAAAGGUAAUCAAAUGUAAUCUUAUGUACUUUGCAGAUUUUACUUUAGUUGAUUUUGGCCAGGGUUCAGGACUCUCUAAGUUAUGUAGUUUUCUUCAGGUGGUAUAUUUUCUUUCUUAAAAAUAUAUCUUUAAAUAAAUUUAUUUAUUCAACUUUGUCUAUAGUUCAAGCACCAUUCUCUACAAGUUAUGAAAUUAUUAAACUUUCCUCUUGUUAGCUUUAGUGAUCAAGAGAUUAAUGUUGAUCUUUUUUUGUGUGAUUGGUAGCUAAUACCCUCAACCUAUGCAAAGUUAUUAUGAGAUUAUAUUCUUUAGUUCAAGUAACUAACCAACUGCCUGCAUUGGAAAAACAUUUUUUUUUCAUUCUGAACAAGGCAAGGACACACAUUAUUUAAAUAGAUAAAUGAUAAUUACUUGAAUUAUCAGGAAAUAACUAAAUAAAAUUAUUUUGUGUUUAAUGUGUUAUGGUUAUGUUGGACCAAGCCUAUUAUAUUAAAGAUAGCAUAUUUCGUAACCAACAUAUUUUAAGAAACCACUGGUUCAGAGUGUCAUACACAGUCAUUUCUUUUUGCAAGAAACAUUCUAUUCCAUCUCCAUAAGAACAAAUAAUCCUUGGGCUCCUUCUCAUGCAUAGCAAUGGCUAAUUAAUCACAAGACAUAACCCAGCUUUUUGUAGAUGAAAGCUGAAGCUAUUUGCCCUUGCUGAAGAUUUAUUUGAAACAAUGGCACAGAGAGCAAAGAUGAGAAGAGACAAUUCCAUCUUGAGAAGGCUUCUUCUUGAUGGGCUUCUCAGAAAAACAGUGUUUAGGGAGGACCUUUCAUCUUUUUAUGGUAACUAUUCAAUAAUGUGUAAAAUGAUAUUUCAUUGUCAUUAUAUUUGGCAUUUCCCUGUUAUUGAUGCCUUUUUCCCUCUAUACUUAGUGACC